GGGGGCGACCGGUUUCGACGGGAUGGUUGAACCCCAAGUGGCGCGCCGAGGAAUCCUGCUUGGCCUCGUUAAUCAUGCGGGAAAAACAAAAACUGCCAACGAUAACUUGGCUCUCGCGGCUUAAUUAAUGCCGCAGCGCGGACCCCCUGACAUCCGCUGAGGGGUGCACCGCGAAAAACCAGCGGGUCCUGUCAGAGUCCGGGUGGCCGGGGCACUGAGCUUGUAAAAUCGUGGCUGCUGGCGGUGGGGAGAGGUUGCCUGUGAUCGAACCCCAACGUGAGAUUAAAUUACAGGACACGCGCGUAGAAGCUUGGAUGAUGUCAUUUCGGACGGGGGUUCAACUCCCCCCGCCUCCACCA
This 359-nucleotide transfer-messenger RNA is filed under the name Kiritimatiellia. RNAcentral describes it as "JAAYNR01 sp012520735 Standard tmRNA". It matches the Rfam family "transfer-messenger RNA". Rfam says of the family: Bacterial tmRNA, also known as 10Sa RNA or SsrA, is named for its dual tRNA and mRNA-like properties. Lineage: Bacteria; Pseudomonadati; Kiritimatiellota. RNAcentral also lists the same sequence under 1 other name. The record is from RNAcentral.